CAGCAGUUCCUGCAAGACGAAGGCAUUGAUGCUAUGGAUUGGCCGCCCGUUCCCCAGACAUGAAUGCAAUUGAGCACAUCUGGGACAUCAUGUCUCGCUCCGUCCACCGUCACGUUGCACCACAGAAAGUCCAGGAGUUGGCAGAUGCUUUAGUCCAGAUCUGGGAGGAGAUCCCUCAGGAGACCAUCCACCACCUCAUCAGGAGCAUGCACAGACAUUGUAGGGAGGUCAUACAGGCAGGUGGAGGCCACACACACUACUGAGCCUCAUCUUGACUUGUUUUAAGGACAUUACAUCAAAGUUGGAUCAGCCUGUAGUGUGUUUUUCCACUUUAAUUUUGAGUGUGACUCCAAAUCAAGAC
Pelobates cultripes (western spadefoot toad) is the source of this 361-nucleotide non-coding RNA. The record is from the annotation of a GenBank genome assembly. Lineage: Eukaryota; Metazoa; Chordata; Amphibia; Anura; Pelobatidae.